Molecule: ribosomal RNA, 435 nt
Filed under: uncultured Anaerovorax sp.
Lineage: Bacteria; Bacillati; Bacillota; Clostridia; Peptostreptococcales; Anaerovoracaceae
Description: partial 16S ribosomal RNA
Rfam family: Bacterial small subunit ribosomal RNA
Source: RNAcentral
ACGGAAGGCAGCAGUGGGGAAUAUUGCACAAUGGGCGAAAGCCUGAUGCAGCAACGCCGCGUGAAGGAUGAAGGUCUUCGGAUUGUAAACUUCUGUCCUAAGGGAAGAAUAAAUGACGGUACCUUUGGAGGAAGCCCCGGCUAACUACGUGCCAGCAGCCGCGGUAAUACGUAGGGGGCAAGCGUUAUCCGGAAUUAUUGGGCGUAAAGAGUGCGUAGGCGGUUUCUUAAGCGCGGGGUGAAAGGCAGUGGCUUAACCAUUGUUAGCCUUGCGAACUGGGAGACUUGAGUGCUGGAGAGGAAAGCGGAAUUCCUAGUGUAGCGGUGAAAUGCGUAGAUAUUAGGAGGAACACCAGUGGCGAAGGCGGCUUUCUGGACAGUAACUGACGCCGAGGCACGAAAGUGUGGGGAGCAAACAGGAUUAGAUACCCUGGUA